UGUAUUUUUUUAGUAGAGACGGGUUUCACCAAGUUGGCCAGGCUGGUUCUGCCCUCCUGACCUGAAGUGAUCCCCCGCACCCGGCCCCAGGGCCCUGAUUAACCAGACAAAGCACUCAACACUGAAAGUGAAAUCUCAGCCCAUUUAUCCCUCCAUCCAGAGUGAAUGAAUAAAUAAAUACACUAUUCUCAACUCCACUCACUGGCAGAAUUUUCCUUUAGUGCUGUCUUUUAGGGGCUCCCCUGAGGAGAGCUGUGGUACAGCACCGUCCUUUUUGGUGCCAAUGUAUUAUCUGACCCUCUGGGAACCACGGUCCCCGGGAAGGCAGCCAGACGACGGCAGCAGCUCAUCCCUCAAGGCCCAGAGCUCUCACGGGACUUCCUCUGGCCCCUGACCCCCCCAGCCUGUGCCCAGCUCUGGGCAACCUCAGAGGCCCCAGGCCCAGGCCACAGCCGCGGGCAGAGUGGCCGGUGCAGCCCAGCAGCCAUGUCAGAGCCGGCCAACAUUGGCCCCUCAGGGGUGUCGGGCCCUUCCCAGCUGAGCGCCAUCACCCUGGAAGACCUGGGGCUCCUCCUGGCAGGAGACCUGACCAGCCCCGAGACCUUGAGCCUGGAGGAGCUCUCGGAGAGGUGUGAGUCCAGCCACCCGCCAUCCACGGCCUCUGUCCCUGAGCAGGACACCGCCAAACGCUGGAACCAGCUGGAGCAGUGGGUGGUGGAGCUGCAGGCCGAGGUGGCGUGCCUGCGGGAGCACAAGCAGCGCUGUGAGCGCACCACACGGAGCCUGCUGCGGGAGCUGCUCCAGGUGCGGGCCCGCGUGCAGCUACAGGGCUCAGAGCUGAGGCAGCUGCAGCAGGAGGUGCGGCCGGCAGCCCAGGCCCCUGAGAAGGAGGCGCCGGAGUUCUCUGGUCUCCAGAACCAGAUGCAGGCCCUGGACAAAAGGCUGGUGGAGGUCCGGGAAGCCUUGACUCAGCUCAGGAGGAGGCAGGCGCAGCAGGAGGCAGAGAGAAGGGGCGCCGAGCAGGAGGCCGGCCUCAGGCUGGCCAAGCUGACCGACUUGCUGCAGCAGGAGGAGCAGGGCCGGGAGGUGGCCUGCGGCGCCCUGCAGAAGAACCAGGAGGACAGCAGCCGGAGGGUGGACCUGGAGGUGGCCAGGAUGCAGGCCCAGGUGACCAAGCUCGGCGAAGAGGUGAGCCUACGCUUCCUGAAGAGGGAGGCCAAGCUGUGUGGCUUCCUGCAGAAGAGCUUCCUGGCCCUGGAGAAGAGAAUGAAGGCCUCGGAGAGCUCGCGGCUGAGGCUGGAGGGCAGCCUGCGGGGCGAGCUGGAGAGCCGGUGGGAGAAGCUUCGGGGGCUGAUGGAGGAGCGCCUGCGGGCCCUGCAGGGGCAGCAUGAGGAGAGCCACCUCCUGGAGCAGUGCCAGGGCCUGGAUGCAGCCGUGGCCCAGCUGACCAAGUUCGUGCAGCAGAACCAGGCAUCGCUGAACCGCGUCCUGCUGGCUGAGGCGAAGGCCUGGGAUGCCAAGGGGCGCCUGGAGGAGAGCCGGGCCGGGGAGCUGGCUGCCUAUGUGCAGGAGAACCUGGAGGCCGCACAGCUGGCCCGCGAGCUGGCCCGGCAGGAGAUGCAUGGCGAGCUGGUGCUGCUCCGAGAGAAAAACCGGGCUCUGGAGGCAUCGGUGGCGCAGCUGGCCGGGCAGUUAAAGGAGCUGAGUGGCCGCCUCCCGGCUCUGAGCAGCCGGCUGGAUCUGCAGGAGCAGAUGCUGGGCCUCAGGCUGUCUGAGGCAAAGACCGAAUGGGAAGGUGCAGAGAGGAAGUCUCUGGAGGACCUGGCCAGGUGGCAGAAGGAGGUCGUCGCGCACCUGCGGGGGGUGCGGGAGAAGGUGGAUGGCCUCCCCCAGCAGAUAGAGGGCAUCUCGGACAAGUGCCUGCUCCACAAGAGUGAUUCGGACCUCAGGAUUUCCGCCGAAGGCAAGGCCAGGGAGUUCGAGGUUGGGGCCCUGCGGCAGGAGCUGGCCACGCUGCUGUCGUCCGUGCAGCUGCUGAAGGAAGACAGCCCUGGGCGGAAGAUCGCAGAGAUGCAGGGCAAGCUGGCCACGUUUCAGAACCAAAUAAUGAAGCUGGAAAACUGCGUCCAGGCCAGCAAGACCAUCCAGAACCUCAGGUUCAACACUGAGGCCCGGCUGCGCACACAGGAGAUGGCCGCCCUUCGGGAGAGCGUGCUGCGGCUGCGCAGUCAGGAGAGCCCGCAGACGCCGCUGGGCAGCCGGAAGCUGCUCCCAUCCCUGGCAAGGCUGCAAGUCUUCAUCAAGGACACGGCGCCAAACGAGGUGGCUGCGGUGGAAGGCGUCCCUCAUAAAGCUCAGGGCCCCGCGGAGGCCAGGAGGGGUCCCAGAGAAGCCCCACAGCCAGGAGCAGGUGCAACAGCUCACACCCUCGCUCUUUAUCCAGAAAUAAACGAACCAGCCUUGUACUCAUUAGAGCUGAGGUUCCCCGAUGCGUACGAGUGAACAGCCUCCCCAGGGCCUGGGGGGUGAGAGGGGUGGCGAGGCCCUGGGCAGCGGGGGUGCCCAAGGCUGGAGGGAGCCAGUCUCUUGAGCCCCACAACUCUCCCUGUCCUGCCCAAGCCCAGCCUGGCUUCAGGCUGUUGUUUUUCCUAGCACUUCAGCAGCCCCUCUCCUUCCCUGCCAGGCCCCCUAGGGCUGCCAGAGCCCCCCGGGGUGGAAGGGGCUGGGCUGGGGCCUGCCCAGAAGCACCUAGCCCUGCCCCCGCCAGGAGCCCCAGUGAGCCGCCCUGCCCGGGUCGUGAGGAGGACCCGGGGACGCUUCCUGGCCUGGGGCUCUCUGGCUCUGCCUCAGAGCCACUCCAGCCCAGCACCCUGCAGUGGGAGAACCUUCCAGCAUCUGUGGAGGAGACAGCCCUUGUCUGCUGUCUCGGUCGGGCAGUGGGCCCCUCUUCCUGCCUCUCCAAGGAGGGACGGAGGAGGCUCUUCCCAGGAGGAUGGGAGGAGAGUCCAGUGCCUCAGGGGCGGCCGCCCCUGCCACCAGCUGACUCCGACCCCAGUGCCUCGCUAGGCCUCGGCUGGCUGUGCCCCUUCCAGGGCUGGGGUUCCCCUGCCGGGCAGCUCAGGACAGGCCUCGGCUGACCAGCUGGCCAGCAGGUCGCUGAAGUCGGGCGUGCCAGGGUGCAGCAGGCCCAGGGGGCUAGGGGUCGGCUCCUUCCAGAAGGACGGGGGCAGCUUCCUCUGGGCCAUGGGGGUGAUGUGGCCGUACUUCCGCUCCAGCCUCAGGCUCCAGCUGGCCGCCGCCCUGGACCCCCAGUACUGCUGCAGCCCGUAGUCGAAGAGCUCGGCCAGGGGUCCCAGGGGCUGCGUCCUGUCCCCGCUGAGGCCCGGCCUGCACACCUGCCCUUGGGAGACCCCGGGCUCCGGGGUGUGCUCGUCCUCCAGGGACCCGCCUCGGGCCAGACGCACCAGGUCCGCGUGGUAGAGCUCCCGGGCAGUGCUGCCAGCUGGGCGGCUGUCGGCGUACACGUCGCAGGCAUCUGGGUCCUGCGCCUUGUCCUUGCGGCCAAAGUACCGCUGGAUGUCGUCGCUGAUGAGCUCUGAGAAGCGUAGCAGCUGCAGCGGCAUCUCGGGGCUGCUGGGACCCUGAGGGGCUGCCUCCUCCGCGGCCUCUGCCCGGCCUGAGUUCGGGAGGAUCUGGCUGCAGCCCUCCAGCCCCUCGCCCUCCUCCCCCUCCUCCCCCUCCUCCCCCUCCCCCUCCUCCUCUUCCUCCUCCUCCUCCUCUUCCUCCUCCGAAGUCUCCAGGGGCUCUGGAUCUGAGGGCAGGAAGGGGUGGUGGCGCAGCAGGGGCAGCUGGAAGUCGCACAGGGUCCGGAUCACACCGGCGGCCAUCUCCGCACGUCCCACGCUUCUGGGGCCUCCGGGGCAGCAGGUGCCGGCUAGGGAGGGAGGCAGAGGAGCAGGUUCCCUGUCAGGCCUGGCCAUGCCCCCGCCACCCUCGAUUGCUGCACUCGGAUCCCACCCAUCUGUGGCCUCCCCCAGAGACGUUCCUCAGCUCCUGGGCUCCCCGUUGUGCUUGCCGAGGGCACGGAUUGCCACCAGAGUGAGGCGUGGAGAGAGACAGGGAUGUCUCCCGCUGGCUGUCCAGAAGGCGAGCUGCGAGGCCCCCCGACCUGGCCGGCCCAGCUGUGGUUCUGAUCUCACUCAAGUGCUGGGGUCCCCAUCACAGGAGACGUCCAGUGUCCUGAGUGCUGGACUUUGGGGCUGACUGCUCACGGACAGCCCAGACGCAGGUGCCCUCCCAUGGCCGUCUGCCCGGAUGCCGGCCCAGCCCUGGGCCAGCAGGACUCUCCCGGGGUGGGUGGUCCCCGCAGAGCCCUGGGCAGAAGGACUCACAGACUCCCCAAGUCCCCAGUGCUGUGGUGGUCCCCAGCAGCGCCCACCUCCCCCAGGCCCUGGCUCCUACCUGGCCGGGGCCACAGCUCUCGAUCCACAGGCACACCCUCCACCUGGACACGAGCAUUUAUAGCCGCGCUCUGCAGCCGCCAGGAGCUGGCAAAUAUUUGGCAACAGCAUUGUCAUCGCAGACUGGGCAAAUAGAGCCCGUUUGCUUUAGCGCCCGGCAACCAGGGCCCCGAGGGGGGAGCACACCCCCGGCCUCACCUGCACGCAGCCUGCCCGGGGACCGUGGAGUGUUUGUGCGGGCGCAGCUGGCUCGCCCCCGGGCCCCGGGACCCUUAUCUCUGCUGCUGACUGGGGCCCGGACCCAGCCUUGUCAAAUAGGCGGAAAAUUAAAUUUCAUGCUAUUUUGA
Molecule: non-coding RNA, 4807 nt
Organism: Macaca mulatta (Rhesus monkey)
Lineage: Eukaryota; Metazoa; Chordata; Mammalia; Primates; Cercopithecidae
Source: RefSeq, a predicted model, not a curated record